CACGUAGGCGGAUUGGCAAGUCAGAUGUGAAAGCCCGGAGCUUAACUCCGGAACUGCAUUUGAUACUGCUAGUCUUGAGUGUGGUAGAGGGGGGUGGAAUUCCCGGUGUAGAGGUGAAAUUCGUAGAUAUCGGGAGGAACACCAGAGGCGAAGGCGACCCCCUGGGCCAUAACUGACGCUGAGGUGCGAAAGCGUGGGGAGCAAACA
This 207-nucleotide ribosomal RNA is filed under the name uncultured Pseudomonadota bacterium. RNAcentral's name for it is "uncultured proteobacterium partial 16S ribosomal RNA". It matches the Rfam family "Bacterial small subunit ribosomal RNA", at positions 568 to 774 of the family's 1533-position model. Lineage: Bacteria; Pseudomonadati; Pseudomonadota. The record is from RNAcentral.